This 282-nucleotide ribosomal RNA is filed under the name uncultured bacterium. Its description in RNAcentral is "partial 16S ribosomal RNA". It matches the Rfam family "Bacterial small subunit ribosomal RNA", at positions 335 to 615 of the family's 1533-position model. The record is from RNAcentral.
ACCCUACGGGAGGCAGCAGUGAGGAAUAUUGGUCAAUGGGCUUACGCCUGAACCAGCCAAGUCGCGUGAGGGAUGAAGGUACAGAGUAUCGUAAACCUCUUUUGUCAGGGAACAAAGGCGGGGACGCGUCCCCGGAUGAGUGUACCUGAAGAAAAAGCAUCGGCUAACUCCGUGCCAGCAGCCGCGGUAAUACGGAGGAUGCGAGCGAUAUCCGGACUUAUUGGGUUUAAAGGGUGCGCAGGCGGUCUGUUAAGUCAGCGGUCAAAGCCCGGGGCCCAACCC